AUUGUAUUCGGGUCUCUCUCUCUUCAUCACAGGUGUGUGUGUCGAUGACGUUCUAUCAUCGCAUCGUGUGCUAUUCACUCCAACGUCGUUAUACACUUAGCCAUGGUCGUCUGUGGGGAUCGUAGGAGAGCCAAGCGUCGGGGACCACCUGCUCGUGGUGGCGGCCGAGGUAAGAAGGUAAAGGUAUCUCAGUCUCAACCUGGUGCCUCGGUGCUUGAAUGCCCCUGACCAUGAGCUUAUUGCAGAAGAGGAUGCGACGUUUCCUAGGUUGAAGAUUAGGUCGCCAUCUGCCGUCGUCGUUAAAUUUUAAACGCCCUUUGUAGGUGUUUGAUGUUUAUUCUUUACGUUUUAUUCAGCUACAGUAUGCGCCUAUUUCACAUUGCAGAUUUUUGUUGACAAUGUUAUAUAUCACACAUUUUUUGCUCA
Ipomoea nil (Japanese morning glory) is the source of this 426-nucleotide long non-coding RNA. RefSeq lists it as uncharacterized. The record is from RefSeq and is a predicted model, not a curated record. Lineage: Eukaryota; Viridiplantae; Streptophyta; Magnoliopsida; Solanales; Convolvulaceae. The transcript has 2 exons.